CCCCUAGUAACUGCGAGUGAAGCGGGAUGAGCUCAAAUUUGAAAUCUGGCGGUUCUGCCGUCCGAGUUGUAAUCUGGAGAAGCGUCUUCCGUGCCGGACCGUGUACAAGUCCCUUGGAACAGGGCGUCAUAGAGGGUGAGAAUCCCGUCUUUGACACGGACUCCCGGUGCUCUGCGAUGCGCUCUCGAAGAGUCGAGUUGUUUGGGAAUGCAGCUCAAAAUGGGUGGUAAAUUCCAUCUAAAGCUAAAUAUUGGCGAGAGACCGAUAGCGAACAAGUACCGUGAGGGAAAGAUGAAAAGCACUUUGGAAAGAGAGUAAAACAGUACGUGAAAUUGUUGAAAGGGAAACGCUUGAAGUCAGUCGCGUCUUCUGGGACUCAGCCUUGCUCUGCUCGGUGCACUUCCCAGUUUGACGGGUCAGCAUCGGCUCUGGUGGGCGGACAAAGGCGCGGGGAAGGUGGCAGCCUCGGCUGUGUUAUAGCCCCGCGUUACACGUCCACCGGGACCGAGGAAUCCGGCGCUCGCGCCUGGGAUGCUGGCGUAAUGGCUUUAAACGACCCGUCUUGAAACACGGACCAAGGAGUGCUACAUGCUCGCGAGUGUUUGGGUGGAAAACCCGAGCGCGAAAUGAAAGUGAAAGUCGAGACCCUUUGCGGGGGCACCGACGCCCGAGCCUGAUGUUUUCGGAAGGCCUUGCGGUAGAGCGAGUAUGUUGCGACCCGAAAGAUGGUGAACUAUUCCUGAGGAGGGCGAAGCCAGAGGAAACUCUGGUGGAGGCUCGUAGCGGUUCUGACGUGCAAAUCGAUCGCAGGACUUGGGUAUAGGGGCGAAAGACUAAUCGAACCAUCUAGUAGCUGGUUCCUGCCGAAGUUUCCCUCAGGAUAGCAGAAGCUCAGAUCAGAUUUAUGUGGUAAAGCGAAUGAUUAGAGGCCUUGGGGUUGAAACAACCUUAACCUAUUCUCAAACUUUAAAUAUGUAAGAACGAGCCGUCGCUUGGUUGGACCGCUCGACGAUUGAGAGCUUCUAGUGGGCCAUUUUUGGUAAGCAGAACUGGCGAUGCGGGAUGAACCGAUCGCGGGGUUAAGGUGCCGGAAUGCACGCUCAUCAGACACCACAAAAGGUGUUAGUUCAUCUAGACAGCAGGACGGUGGCCAUGGAAGUCGGAAUCCGCUAAGGAGUGUGUAACAACUCACCUGCCGAAUGAACUAGCCCUGAAAAUGGAUGGCGCUCAAGCGUGCUACCCAUACCCCGCCGUCAGCGUUGAAGUGACGCGCUGACGAGUAGGCAGGCGUGGAGGUCCGUGAAGAAGCC
Molecule: ribosomal RNA, 1310 nt
Filed under: Subulicystidium longisporum
Lineage: Eukaryota; Fungi; Basidiomycota; Agaricomycetes; Trechisporales; Hydnodontaceae
Description: partial large subunit ribosomal RNA
Rfam family: Eukaryotic large subunit ribosomal RNA
Source: RNAcentral